This 211-nucleotide microRNA precursor is filed under the name Amborella trichopoda. Its description in RNAcentral is "miR8594 stem-loop (atr-MIR8594)". Lineage: Eukaryota; Viridiplantae; Streptophyta; Magnoliopsida; Amborellales; Amborellaceae. The record is from miRBase by way of RNAcentral.
AACACAAUUCUUUUAUCAACAGUAUCAAUGGAUAUGUUAAGCAAAUAAAUGUACUAUACCUAAGUAUAAUAAUGUAAUUAUCAAGACAAAGAUAGAGAAAGUAGAUAUAUCUCCUUUCUCUAUCUUUGUCUUGAAAAUUAUAUUAUUAUACUUAGGUGUACGUUUAUUUGCGUAACAUAUCCAUUGAUACUGUUGAUGAAAGAAUUGUAUU